CAGCACCUCAAGUGGUCAGGAUGAUUAUUGGGCCUAAAGCAUCCGUAGCCGGCGCUGUAAGUUUUCGGUUAAAUCUGUACGCUCAACGUACAGGCUGCCGGGAAUACUGCAGAGCUAGGGAGUGGGAGAGGUAGACGGUACUCGGUAGGAAGGGGUAAAAUCCUUUGAUCUAUUGAUGACCACCUGUGGCGAAGGCGGUCUACCAGAACACGUCCGACGGUGAGUGAUGAAAGCUGGGGGAGCAAACCGGAUUAGAUACCCGAGUAGUCC
Molecule: ribosomal RNA, 270 nt
Filed under: uncultured archaeon
Lineage: Archaea
Description: partial 16S ribosomal RNA
Rfam family: Archaeal small subunit ribosomal RNA
Source: RNAcentral